This 254-nucleotide ribosomal RNA is filed under the name uncultured bacterium. Its description in RNAcentral is "partial 16S ribosomal RNA". It matches the Rfam family "Bacterial small subunit ribosomal RNA", at positions 524 to 777 of the family's 1533-position model. The record is from RNAcentral.
UACAGAGGUGCGAGCGUUAAUCGGAAUUACGUGGGCGUAAAGCGUGCGUAGACGGUAGCGUAAGUCAGAUGUGAAAGCCCCGGGCUCAACCUGGGAACUGCAUUUGAGACUGCUCUGCUCGGGUGCGGAAGAGGGAAGCGGAAUUUCCGGUGUAGCGGUGAAAUGCGUAGAUAUCGGAAGGAACACCAGUGGCGAAAGCGGCUUCCUGGUCCGACACCGACGUUCAGGCACGAAAGCGUGGGGAGCAAAGCAGG